Molecule: transfer RNA, 108 nt
Filed under: marine sediment metagenome
Description: tRNA-Ala
Rfam family: tRNA
About the family: Transfer RNA (tRNA) molecules are approximately 80 nucleotides in length.
Source: RNAcentral
GGGGCCGUAGAUUAGUCUGGAGAAUCGUUCGCUUGGCAUAAAAAAGUUAAGAAUAUUAACUUAAUUACAAAGUGCGAAAGACCACGGGUUCAAAUCCCGUCGGCUCCA